GUGCAUCACGCCUUUUUUAAGCACUGACAGCAAACAUACAGGUGUGAAAAUGCUGAGCCCUUAGGUUCUGUUGGUUUUUACCAAGAAUGCAUCAUUUUCACCAAAUCUGGCAACACGGAUGUUGAUUUUGCAUCAAAUUUUUGAAAUCCUGAUGCAACUGAAUUAUCUAGAGUGGAGCUCACUGAAACUCUACCGAGCUCCCAGCCUUCGUAACUGACACAACGUGGCACUGAAGGUGCGUAUGGUAGUGAUGAUGAUGUCACAGUGUCCGGUCUAUCAGAGGGACAGAGAGGCAGAGUUUAACAGACAAAAGCUUCACCUGCUGCAGUGACCCAUGAGUGAAGCAAAAUGUAAGAAUAAUCAUAAAUAGUCAUAGUCAUAAAGGUGCAACUACCAAUCGAAUACUUGUUUAAUUCAUCAACUAAGUUCUUGCUGCAGCCAGAUUCUGCAAGGUGCAGCUCUCUUCUCUAACAGCAGGGGGCAGUGAAGCAAACACAGACUGAGGCAGCAGCAGUGAGGGGAGCCAACAAAUAUUAAAUCUGAUUGCUGCAGACCUGAAAUCUGCUGCAAGAGAUGGCCAAUAAAUA
Thalassophryne amazonica is the source of this 587-nucleotide long non-coding RNA. RefSeq lists it as uncharacterized. The record is from RefSeq and is a predicted model, not a curated record. The transcript is spliced from 3 exons. NCBI's taxonomy places the organism in Eukaryota, Metazoa, Chordata, Actinopteri, Batrachoidiformes, Batrachoididae.